CACAGUAAUAAUUGUCAGUGGUUAAAUUAUACUCUAGAAGCAUCAUUGUCCCUCAGUCUCUCAUUCCUAAUAAAAAAAAAGGACGCUUCUCUUCAUCUACUUUUCAUCAUCAUUUGGGUGUCACCACUCACACUAAUUGGUUUCAUAUUAUGUCAAUUUCAGACCAAAUGAGUUCGCAGACUAUAUGAUCUGUCUACCUGCUCAUGGAGCUAUUAUUGGAGUGUGGUUUGAUGCUUGCGCAAUGGCACUUGAUUGGGAGAACCCAUGGCGCGUAUAUAUACUAGGGAGCUAAGGUUAGAGUUUUCAUGUACCCAAGCAACAUAUAAGUGAAUAAUGUGUUACAUGUGGAGGUCGAGGAUUAGGAUAGAAGGGUACGCCCCUCCUUGGGACUCACUAUAAGGGUCUUCCCGCAGGCCAUAUGUGCCAUAUAUUGGAUUGAGUCAGGGGAACUAGUCCAACCGACUCCAAAUACAAAUGAUGCCACAAGGGUAGGUAUGCCACACAUUCAGGUUCGCUAUAGUGGUUUGGUCUCAAUUCUGUGCAUAGAAUUUCGUCGCGCGUGUGCCAAGCCAAACCUAGAAAUACCCUUCUGUCGUUAACUUUUAUCAAAUAGUGCUUCAUAGGCCUAUGCAAGUAUAUAUUACGGCAAAUAUUAUUUAUUUAUUUAAGUAGUGCUUUCAAUAUACAAUUGAUUUAUUUGAUAGUACUAAACUAUUACAACGUUUGUACUUUAUAUCAUUAUAUGACUAUAUCGUUAUGUGAUCUAAUAUAUUAGUACGACUAAAAUAUGGCCAUUUAUUA
Capsicum annuum is the source of this 801-nucleotide long non-coding RNA. RefSeq lists it as uncharacterized. The record is from RefSeq and is a predicted model, not a curated record. NCBI's taxonomy places the organism in Eukaryota, Viridiplantae, Streptophyta, Magnoliopsida, Solanales, Solanaceae. The transcript is spliced from 5 exons.